CCCUUAGAUGUUCUGGGCCGCACGCGUGCUACACUGAGUAAUUCAAUGGGUAAGGGAACGCUAGAGCAUUACCUAAUCUUGAAAUUUGCUCGUGAUGGGGAUCGACGGUUGCAAUUUUCCGUCGUGAACGAGGAAUACCUUGUAGGCGCAUGUCAUCAUCAUGCGCCGAAUACGUCCCUGCCCUUUGUACACACCGCCCGUCGCUCCUACCGAUUGAGUGAUCCGGUGAGGCUCUGGGACCUGGACGGAAAGAGCGUUUCGCUUGUUCUGUUUGGGAAACUUGGUCGAACCUUAUCAUUGAGAGGAAGGAGAAGUCGGAACA
Molecule: ribosomal RNA, 322 nt
Filed under: uncultured eukaryote
Lineage: Eukaryota
Description: partial 18S ribosomal RNA
Rfam family: Eukaryotic small subunit ribosomal RNA
Source: RNAcentral